This 496-nucleotide ribosomal RNA is filed under the name uncultured bacterium. Its description in RNAcentral is "partial 16S ribosomal RNA". It matches the Rfam family "Bacterial small subunit ribosomal RNA", at positions 28 to 506 of the family's 1533-position model. The record is from RNAcentral.
GAUGAACGCUGGCGGCGUGCCUAAUACAUGCAAGUCGAGCGAACGGACGAGAAGCUUGCUUCUCUGAUGUUAGCGGCGGACGGGUGAGUAACACGUGGAUAACCUACCUAUAAGACUGGGAUAACUUCGGGAAACCGUAGCUAAUACCGGAUAAUAUUUUGAACCGCAUGGUUCAAAAGUGAAAGACGGUCUUGCUGUCACUUAUGGAUGGAUCCGCGCUGCAUUAGCUAGUUGGUAAGGUAACGGCUUACCAAGGCAACGAUGCAUAGCCGACCUGAGAGGGUGAUCGACCACACUGGAACUGAGACACGGUCCAGACUCCUACGGGAGGCAGCAGUAGGGAAUCUUCCGCAAUGGGCGAAAGCCUGACGGAGCAACGCCGCGUGAGUGAUGAAGGUCUUCGGAUCGUAAAACUCUGUUAUUAGGGAAGAACAUAUGUGUAAGUAACUGUGCACAUCUUGACGGUACCUAAUCAGAAAGCCACGGCUAACUACGU